Molecule: unclassified non-coding RNA, 179 nt
Organism: Chelonoidis abingdonii (Abingdon island giant tortoise)
Lineage: Eukaryota; Metazoa; Chordata; Testudines; Testudinidae
Source: Ensembl
UAGACAGCCCUGGAAUCUGGAGUCCUAUCUUUAUCCACAGAAUAGGUUCAACAUAGGCAGUGGUAGUACAGGUUUCUAUACAGUGCGCCACUAACAUGUCUUAGUUGUGACAUAGGGAGCGCACCUCUGACAGUUAAAGAACCAUUCAAUCCCCAUGACUAGGACUUUACCAAAUUCAU